Molecule: ribosomal RNA, 301 nt
Filed under: uncultured bacterium
Lineage: Bacteria
Description: partial 16S ribosomal RNA
Rfam family: Bacterial small subunit ribosomal RNA
Source: RNAcentral
CAGCAGCCGCGGUAAUACGUAGGGUGCGAGCGUUAAUCGGAAUUACUGGGCGUAAAGCGUGCGCAGGCGGUUCGUUAAGACAGAUGUGAAAUCCCCGGGCUUAACCUGGGAACUGCAUUUGUGACUGGCGAGCUAGAGUAUGGCAGAGGGGGGUAGAAUUCCACGUGUAGCAGUGAAAUGCGUAGAGAUGUGGAGGAAUACCGAUGGCGAAGGCAGCCCCCUGGGCCAAUACUGACGCUCAUGCACGAAGGCGUGGGGAGCAAACAGGAUUAGAGACCCGUGUAGUCCCUGUCUCUUAUAC